UGUACAAACACUGGAACAUAAAUAAACCUGCAAGACGUAUGUUGUAAAAGAGCGUUGUCUUUUCUACAUACCAUGAUGUUAAUACUUCAGCCAGCCAUGCAGGGAAUCAUGAUCUUAGGAUUGCCUGCAUGUUCCAAAAAAGCAACAACUUAAAUCAGACAGACAUUCUUCUUCUAAACUGUUUUUCAACUAUUAAGGGCCCAAUCCAUAAGCCCUUGGAAAUCAAUGGGAAGUAUUCCAUGUGUUCAGUGGACUUGGCAUCAGGCCCUAAAAGUCAUCAGGGAGUCACCACAGGGAGUACCAGUGGACAAAGGAAUGAUUGUAGAAAGUACUAUGGUGCUAUUUUCUCUCCAAUUUCCUGGUCAAAGUCUAAAAUAAAAAUUGCAGAUUAGAAAAUCCUUUGAGAAUGGGGUUCAGCAAGUGAAACUGUUUGAAGACCUUAAAGGGACACAGUCAAAGUUGGCAGAAAUCAGAUUUGAACUAUUUAUUUUCCUUCAAGUUGCCUAAUUCAGGAAAAACUUUCACUUUUUCCCCAAAUAAUCACACUUUCAUGAUCUAUUUAAAUUAAAUCAACUCAAGAAGCCAAGCAUGCAGGAAGAACUGAACAUUAACCAAAUAAUAUAUGUAUGCAAGGGAGAAAAAAAUUGCCAAAUCCUCCUCCCCCAAAGUCACUUCCAGUCUUCCCAAGUAAUAUCAUGAAUAACUGUUAAAUAUUUAUAUUUUGUAUUAAAAAUAUAUUUGGAUCUCUUCUAAGAAUGAUGUAAAAAUAACCUCAAUAAGAAGGCCAGUUGAUAACCAGUUGUUUUGGAAAGUACUGCAAAAAAAGUCUGAGAAUUAUUUUUGUAUUUGAUUAUUUUAAGAUGAAGUUGGUUUGAUUCUCCAUUACAAAAAAAAUCUUUCACAAAUACAGUCCCAUUUCCUGUUUGUGAACUGUUCACACACCAAUCCUGAUUUCUAAAAAUAUGUCUGUUAUUUUUAAAUAUUGGCUGAAUAGUUUAUGCAAACAAUGUCAGAUUUGUUCACACACUGAUCCCUUCUACUAGUCACUGUUCGUAGCACAUGAUUUCUUACUAGAAUCGCAUGGAUACUGUAUCCAGUCUGUACAAAGUUUUUGAAAACAGGAGAAUAUCACAUGACAAAAAACAAUACAAAAUAAAAAAAAAAGAGAGAGU
This 1172-nucleotide long non-coding RNA is filed under the name Crocodylus porosus (Australian saltwater crocodile). RNAcentral's name for it is "lncRNA (ENSCPRG00005007620.1)". Lineage: Eukaryota; Metazoa; Chordata; Crocodylia; Crocodylidae. The record is from RNAcentral.